CAAAGAUAAAAACGCAAAGCGCCGUUCGCGCGAGAGCCGGUAGGUAGCCCGGCCGUCUCACACUCGUGAGGUAAGUAACCUGCCCCUCCUGGGUUGUCCAUUCUUUGUCCAUC
This 113-nucleotide non-coding RNA is filed under the name human gut metagenome. Its description in RNAcentral is "yjdF RNA". It matches the Rfam family "azaaromatic riboswitch aptamer (yjdF RNA)", at positions 6 to 91 of the family's 101-position model. The record is from RNAcentral.